AAGCGGCAAAAGCUCAAAUUUGAAAUCUGCGUAAGCCGAGUUGUAAUUUGAAGAUGGCUACUUUGGUAAUGGCUCUUGUCUAUGUUCCUUGGAACAGGACGUCACAGAGGGUGAGAAUCCCGUGCGAUGAGAUGUCCAUUACCGUGUAAAGUGCUUUCGAAGAGUCGAGUUGUUUGGGAAUGCAGCUCUAAGUGGGUGGUAAAUUCCAUCUAAAGCUAAAUAUUGGCGAGAGACCGAUAGCGAACAAGUACAGUGAUGGAAAGAUGAAAAGAACUUUGAAAAGAGAGUGAAAAAGUACGUGAAAUUGUUGAAAGGGAAGGGCUUGAGAUCAGACUUGGUAUUUUGUAUGGCUUGCUUUCGGGCGGGUCCUCUGCAGUUUACUGGGCCAGCAUCGGUUUGGGUGGCAGGAUAAUAGCAUUGGAAUGUGGCUCUACUUCGGUGGAGUGUUAUAGCCUUUGUUGAUACUGCCUGCCUAGACCGACAACUGCGUCUUUUGACUAGGAUGCUGGCAUAAUGAUCCUAAGCCGCCCGUCUUGACC
RNAcentral lists this ribosomal RNA (539 nucleotides) under Fermentozyma sake. RNAcentral's name for it is "eukaryotic LSU rRNA". It matches the Rfam family "Eukaryotic large subunit ribosomal RNA", at positions 96 to 659 of the family's 3401-position model. Lineage: Eukaryota; Fungi; Ascomycota; Pichiomycetes; Serinales; Debaryomycetaceae. The record is from RNAcentral.